CCCUUAGAUGUUCUGGGCUGCACGCGCGCUACACUGACGAAGUCAGCGAGCAUGUCCUACGCCGACAGGUGCGGGGAAUCUUGUCAAACUUCGUCGUGAUGGGGAUUGAUUUUUGAAAUUCUUGAUCAUAAACGAGGAAUUCCUAGUAAGCGCAAGUCAGCAGCUUGCGUUGAUUACGUCCCUGCCCUUUGUACACACCGCCCGUCGCUACUACCGAUUGAAUGGUUUAGUGAGAUCUUCGGAUUGGCGCCACUGCAGCUCAGCAAUGGGCUUGGUGGAUGCCGAAAAGUUGAUCAAACUUGAUCAUUUAGAGGAAGUAAAAGUCGUAACA
Molecule: ribosomal RNA, 331 nt
Filed under: uncultured eukaryote
Lineage: Eukaryota
Description: partial 18S ribosomal RNA
Rfam family: Eukaryotic small subunit ribosomal RNA
Source: RNAcentral